Long non-coding RNA from Bicyclus anynana (squinting bush brown), 507 nucleotides. RefSeq lists it as uncharacterized. The record is from RefSeq and is a predicted model, not a curated record. The transcript is spliced from 3 exons. NCBI's taxonomy places the organism in Eukaryota, Metazoa, Arthropoda, Insecta, Lepidoptera, Nymphalidae.
CGUGAGCCAACUUCAUUCAAAGUAGUGUCUGUGAUCGGCCCAUUCGUGUUUCACUUGUAAGUUCCAACUUCACUUCACUCGUUUACGAUCAAUUCGGUGAUUCGGUCUCAUUGAUGACGUUUCGUGCAUGCAAACAAGAGUUUAUCGACAGUUUUGUUUUGUCAAUAUAACGUUUCUAACUGCUGUGUUAUUGCUACUGUGUAGUGUUUAUUUAGUUUGAUCUAUUUUUUUUAAUUUAAUAAAAAUGCCAGUGUGUUUUGUGGUUCAUCAGUGAAGUUAUCGUUUUCUUUAGUGUUUGGAUGUUGAGAUGACGAAAAUAUCGUGAUCUUGAACUACCGAUAAUUUGGAUUGCAAUAUGUCGAAUAUUUGUCAACGAUAUAUCCGGAGACACUGCGAGGAGAAACAUGGCGGUUCCUAUAUGAAAUUGCUGAAUUCGCUGUCAACGGAUCUGGAAGAGAUGCUCAGCGAAAUAUACGACGAUGAGAACAUUGCCAGGUAUGUAAAGCA